UGCAGCCUCCAACUCCCGGGCUCAAGGGAUCCUCUUGCCUCAGCCUUCUGAGUAGCUGGGACUGCAGGCAUGCCCCAUGGCACCCGGCUCCUUAUUCUUUAUGAGUUUCUGAGUCAGAGGUUGACCUCUGGAAGGAUCUCUGGAUAAUUCCUGACAUGAAUCGCAGGGCCAGCUUGGAGAAGGAGCAACGUAGUGAGGAAGAUACAAAAGGAGGAAGAGCAGAGGGGCGCUGUGAGCCCCUGCUCACAGAAACGUUUCAAAGGUGACACCUGCUGGUGUUGCUGGUGCUUGAAACAGAACCUGGUUCCCACGCCCUCUUCCUUCUCGUGGGGCUGGACCGCCAGAGGGACGCGCUUCUGCAGAACACCUGCAUCGUGAACAGGUGGCAAGUGGAAGAGCCCCAGACUCCUUGAGGACUUAGCUGAGGGCACCGGGGCCCGUAGGCAAACAGCCUUAUGUGGGAACAUCUUGAAGAUGGACAGACAGACACAUCUCUGUAGCCGCAGGCUGAGGUCUACUCAGUAUGAGGCCUCCGAUCACUCCCUUUGCUAAGAACUAACAUCUACUGAGACCUGCCAUGUGCUGGAACAGUGCACGAACUUUCAUAUAUAUUUCAUUUCAUUUAAUGUAUUUUUAUUCCCAUUUUACAGAUGGGAACGUAUUUUUAUUCCCAUUUUACAGAUGAAGAUCUGAGACAGCUGUCUAAGGCCACACGAUCAUGAGAUGUCGUUCGUGUGACUAUCCUCUCAAUAUCAAAUCCCCGUGGAGACUCACUGCUGUUUGAGUCUCACUGUGUGUCGUAGCUCUAGGUGACUACAGUGUCAUUUGCAGACCCGGAUAUAAAGCAGGGAGUCCUUGGGGGGGUUGUAUCGGUUUGCGUUUGCUACAGUAAGACCGCAUAACAAUCGCAGAAUCUCAACGGCAUACAACAGUGAGCACUGAUUUCAUUCAUGAGUGCCGCUGGGGGCUGGCCGAUCCGGGCUGGGCUCAGCCGGAGGUGGCUGUGAGCCAGGUGUCUCUCAUCCUCCUGGCUCCUCCCCACUGGAGCCAGGUGUCUCUCAUCCCCACUGGACUCGGUGAGCUGCUGGAACGUUCUCACGAUGGUGGCAGAGGCACCAUCCACACAAGUCACACGGGCAAUCCAAAGUCAAGGGCGGGGAAAUAUGAGCCACCAUGGAAAUGACUUCGCCAUGUGACCUCAAAGGUCACACGCAAAGGUGUGGAUCCAGGGAAAGUGGAGAUGGUUGUGGCCAUUCUCUCUCCCUCUGCCCUUGAACCUGGCGGCAUCUAGGGACACAAGGAAGCCCAGGAAAAUCUCAGGUUCUCCCCAGGGGAUGGGAUUUGCUGACUCCCACCUCCUCGUCGUGAGGGUGUUGCUUUGACUAAACACACUUUGCUGGGUUGUGAAAAAAAUAUCAGCUAUAUUUUUUCUUUACUUCAUUGUCUCUGAUGAUAAUACUAAGGGUAAUAUAAUUCACAGUUGUCUGGGUCUUAAAAGAUUGCAAGGCAUUUAUUAUCUUACAGCUCCUCACGUCAAUCCCGAGAAGCGUGCAGAGACGGGAGAGAGCCCGUGAUGCUGUAUAAUUAAUCACAGCAGCAGCGACAACAGCAGCUGGAACUUCUUCAGCGCGUGCUCUGUCCCAGGCACUGAACAACACAGCUGACUCAUUUAGCACAGUAAACCACUGGGACUCUGGAAUCCGAAUCUGCUUUGGGAUCUCAGAGGGUCAGAUUGGCAGGUCUGCUUCCCAGCUGUGUGGCCUUGGGCAACAUACUCAACCUCUCUGUGUUAACUUCCUAAAGCUGUUGCAACAAAUUACCAAAAACCCGGGUGGGUUAAAACAACAGAAAUUGAUUCUCUCCCGGUUUUGAAAGCCGUGCUAUUGAAACCAGGAGGGGGUUUCGGCCUAAGUCCAGUGGCUUGUUGCACAAAGAUCCAAUUAUCGAGACAACAGAGGAUUACCAAGGAAGAAAGGAAUUUUUUAAUACAAAAGACAUCUUGUCGGGAGAAGCUGCCUCCAACCUCUGACUGAAGGAGACCAAGGGCGUGUAAAGGAGGGGCCGUGUGCUUUGAGGGAGGACGUCUGCUCUGUCCAGGCCCUUCAGAGUCAGCUCCUUUGUCUUGUAGAAAAUCCACCAUUUCUGGGAAACAACCCAAAAGGUCAAGUCGUUACCUAACGGAGAGGAUUAUAAAAAAAAAAACCAAAAAAAACAUAUGAGGGUCAUCGAAAUUUGUUCUUGGAGCUGGUUACAGCUAGAAGUCCUCUCUUAGUAAGGACACCUGUCACUCUGGAGUAAGUGCCCACGCUACUUUAGUAUUAACCCACCAAAGUUAACUAAUUUUGUCUGAAAUGACCCUAUUUCAAACGAAGUCACAUUCUGAGGUUUGUGAAUUGUGGGGCAGAGGGACAGUAACCAACCCAGUAUAUUCCUUAAGGCUUUUUCUUUUCCGUCUAUAAAAGCCAGCAUUAGUCGGUUCUAUAUUAGAGGAUUGUUGUGAGGAUUGGGUAAGGUAUAGCCGGAAAGCUCUCGGCCCAGAGCCUGGUACAUGUGUGAACUAAAAUAAAAUAUUCAGCCCCCCAGCUGGCUGAAAUUACCCCCUCUUGGCCAAGGGGACCUCAGAAAGAACCCUAAGGCUGAGUUGCUGGCCAAGAGAAGGGAGGUCACACAGGCCUCUGCCAUGCCCCCCUCUAUUUUUGGAGAUACCUCUGUAACAAAGAGAUGCUAAGUCAUUAACAGGCCUAAGGCUAUACAAACAAAACAAACCACACCUGCAGGCCAUCAAUUUACUCAACAGAUCACCUGAGUUUCAGUGAAUGUCCAGAGGCUUGUCUCUGAUAAACAGACAUCCUUAAGUUAAAAUAUCCCAAGCAUUUAGACAAAGCUUCAUUUCUUUAACCAAUUACAAAUCAAAGAAUCUUUAAACCCACUUAUAACCGCCCCCCUCCACCUUUAAGAUAUCCUGCCCUUUUGGGCCAAUCCGAUGUACACCCUCCAUGUAAUGACUUAGGAUUUUACAUGUAAUUCCUGUCUCCAUGAAUUUAUAAAGCCAAACUGUAACCCAGCAAGCACAUUUUCUCAGGACCUCUUGAGCCCAUGCUUUCUGGGCUGGUCACACACAUUUGGCUCAGAAUAAACCUCUUUAAAUUAUU
This is a non-coding RNA of Microcebus murinus (gray mouse lemur), 3152 nucleotides long. The record is from RefSeq and is a predicted model, not a curated record. Lineage: Eukaryota; Metazoa; Chordata; Mammalia; Primates; Cheirogaleidae.